AAAUCCGGUUCACUUUAACACUGAGGCGUGACGACGAGGCACUACGGUGCUGAAGCAACAAAUGCCCUGCUUCCAGGAAAAGCCUCUAAGCAUCAGGUAACAUCAAAUCGUACCCCAAACCGACACAGGUGGUCAGGUAGAGAAUACCAAGGCGCUUGAGAGAACUCGGGUGAAGGAACUAGGCAAAAUGGUGCCGUAACUUCGGGAGAAGGCACGCUGACACGUAGGUGAAGUGAUUUACUCAUGGAGCUGAAGUCAGUCGAAGAUACCAGCUGGCUGCAACUGUUUAUUAAAAACACAGCACUGUGCAAACACGAAAGUGGACGUAUACGGUGUGACGCCUGCCCGGUGCCGGAAGGUUAAUUGAUGGGGUCAGCGCAAGCGAAGCUCCUGAUCGAAGCCCCGGUAAACGGCGGCCGUAACUAUAACGGUCCUAAGGUAGCGAAAUUCCUUGUCGGGUAAGUUCCGACCUGCACGAAUGGCGUAAUGAUGGCCAGGCUGUCUCCACCCGAGACUCAGUGAAAUUGAACUCGCUGUGAAGAUGCAGUGUACCCGCGGCAAGACGGAAAGACCCCGUGAACCUUUACUAUAGCUUGACACUGAACAUUGAGCCUUGAUGUGUAGGAUAGGUGGGAGGCUUUGAAGUGUGGACGCCAGUCUGCAUGGAGCCGACCUUGAAAUACCACCCUUUAAUGUUUGAUGUUCUAACGUGGACCCGUUACCCGGGUUGCGGACAGUGUCUGGUGGGUAGUUUGACUGGGGCGGUCUCCUCCUAAAGAGUAACGGAGGAGCACGAAGGUUGGCUAAUCCUGGUCGGACAUCAGGAGGUUAGUGCAAUGGCAUAAGCCAGCUUGACUGCGAGCGUGACGGCGCGAGCAGGUGCGAAAGCAGGUCAUAGUGAUCCGGUGGUUCUGAAUGGAAGGGCCAUCGCUCAACGGAUAAAAGGUACUCCGGGGAUAACAGGCUGAUACCGCCCAAGAGUUCAUAUCGACGGCGGUGUUUGGCACCUCGAUGUCGGCUCAUCACAUCCUGGGGCUGAAGUAGGUCCCAAGGGUAUGGCUGUUCGCCAUUUAAAGUGGUACGCGAGCUGGGUUUAGAACGUCGUGAGACAGUUCGGUCCCUAUCUGCCGUGGGCGCUGGAGAACUGAGGGGGGCUGCUCCUAGUACGAGAGGACCGGAGUGGACGCAUCACUGGUGUUCGGGUUGUCAUGCCAAUGGCACUGCCCGGUAGCUAAAUGCGGAAGAGAUAAGUGCUGAAAGCAUCUAAGCACGAAACUUGCCCCGAGAUGAGUUCUCCCUGAGACUUAAAGUCUCCUGAAGGAACGUUGAAGACGACGACGU
This 1341-nucleotide ribosomal RNA is filed under the name Salmonella enterica subsp. enterica serovar Enteritidis. Its description in RNAcentral is "partial 23S ribosomal RNA". It matches the Rfam family "Bacterial large subunit ribosomal RNA", at positions 1538 to 2853 of the family's 2925-position model. Lineage: Bacteria; Pseudomonadati; Pseudomonadota; Gammaproteobacteria; Enterobacterales; Enterobacteriaceae. The record is from RNAcentral.